RNAcentral lists this ribosomal RNA (2903 nucleotides) under Cronobacter sakazakii. RNAcentral describes it as "23S ribosomal RNA". It matches the Rfam family "Bacterial large subunit ribosomal RNA". Lineage: Bacteria; Pseudomonadati; Pseudomonadota; Gammaproteobacteria; Enterobacterales; Enterobacteriaceae. The record is from RNAcentral.
GGUUAAGCGAACAAGCGUACACGGUGGAUGCCCUGGCAGUCAGAGGCGAUGAAGGACGUGCUAAUCUGCGAAAAGCGCCGGUAAGGUGAUAUGAACCGUUAUAACCGGCGAUGUCCGAAUGGGGAAACCCGGUGCACUUCGGUGCAUCAUCGUUAGCUGAAUACAUAGGCUAACGAGGCGAACCGGGGGAACUGAAACAUCUAAGUACCCCGAGGAAAAGAAAUCAACCGAGAUUCCCCCAGUAGCGGCGAGCGAACGGGGAACAGCCCAGAGCCUGAAUCAGCUUGUGUGUCAGUGGAACGGUCUGGAAAGGCCGGCGAUACAGGGUGACAGCCCCGUACACGAAGGCACACAGGCUGUGAGCUCGAUGAGUAGGGCGGGACACGUGAUAUCCUGUCUGAAGAUGGGGGGACCAUCCUCCAAGGCUAAAUACUCCUGACUGACCGAUAGUGAACCAGUACCGUGAGGGAAAGGCGAAAAGAACCCCGGCGAGGGGAGUGAAACAGAACCUGAAACCGUGUACGUACAAGCAGUGGGAGCCUUCGUAAGAGGGUGACUGCGUACCUUUUGUAUAAUGGGUCAGCGACUUAUAUUCUGUAGCAAGGUUAACCGUAUAGGGGAGCCGAAGGGAAACCGAGUCUUAACCGGGCGUUAAGUUGCAGGGUAUAGACCCGAAACCCGGUGAUCUAGCCAUGGGCAGGUUGAAGGUUGGGUAACACUAACUGGAGGACCGAACCGACUAAUGUUGAAAAAUUAGCGGAUGACCUGUGGCUGGGGGUGAAAGGCCAAUCAAACCGGGAGAUAGCUGGUUCUCCCCGAAAGCUAUUUAGGUAGCGCCUCGUGAACUCAUCUCCGGGGGUAGAGCACUGUUUCGGCUAGGGGGCCAUCCCGGCUUACCAACCCGAUGCAAACUGCGAAUACCGGAGAAUGUUAUCACGGGAGACACACGGCGGGUGCUAACGUCCGUCGUGAAGAGGGAAACAACCCAGACCGCCAGCUAAGGUCCCAAAGUCAUGGUUAAGUGGGAAACGAUGUGGGAAGGCCCAGACAGCCAGGAUGUUGGCUUAGAAGCAGCCAUCAUUUAAAGAAAGCGUAAUAGCUCACUGGUCGAGUCGGCCUGCGCGGAAGAUGUAACGGGGCUAAACCAUGCACCGAAGCUGCGGCAGCGACGCUUAUGCGUUGUUGGGUAGGGGAGCGUUCUGUAAGCCUGCGAAGGUGUGCUGUGAGGCAUGCUGGAGGUAUCAGAAGUGCGAAUGCUGACAUAAGUAACGAUAAAGCGGGUGAAAAGCCCGCUCGCCGGAAGACCAAGGGUUCCUGUCCAACGUUAAUCGGGGCAGGGUGAGUCGACCCCUAAGGCGAGGCCGAAAGGCGUAGUCGAUGGGAAACAGGUUAAUAUUCCUGUACUUGGUGUUACUGCGAAGGGGGGACGGAGAAGGCUAUGUCGGCCGGGCGACGGUUGUCCCGGUUUAAGCGUGUAGGCUGACUUUCCAGGCAAAUCCGGAAAGUUAAGGCUGAGGCGUGAUGACGAGGCACCACGGUGCUGAAGUGACAAAUGCCCUGCUUCCAGGAAAAGCCUCUAAGCAUCAGGUAACAUCAAAUCGUACCCCAAACCGACACAGGUGGUCAGGUAGAGAAUACCAAGGCGCUUGAGAGAACUCGGGUGAAGGAACUAGGCAAAAUGGUGCCGUAACUUCGGGAGAAGGCACGCUGACAUGUAGGUGAAGCCCCUGCGGGUGGAGCUGAAGUCAGUCGAAGAUACCAGCUGGCUGCAACUGUUUAUUAAAAACACAGCACUGUGCAAACACGAAAGUGGACGUAUACGGUGUGACGCCUGCCCGGUGCCGGAAGGUUAAUUGAUGGGGUUAUCGCAAGAGAAGCUCCUGAUCGAAGCCCCGGUAAACGGCGGCCGUAACUAUAACGGUCCUAAGGUAGCGAAAUUCCUUGUCGGGUAAGUUCCGACCUGCACGAAUGGCGUAAUGAUGGCCAGGCUGUCUCCACCCGAGACUCAGUGAAAUUGAACUCGCUGUGAAGAUGCAGUGUACCCGCGGCAAGACGGAAAGACCCCGUGAACCUUUACUACAGCUUGACACUGAACAUUGAGCCUUGAUGUGUAGGAUAGGUGGGAGGCUUUGAAGCGUGGACGCCAGUCUGCGUGGAGCCGACCUUGAAAUACCACCCUUUAAUGUUUGAUGUUCUAACCUGGCGCCAUAAUCUGGCGUGGGGACAGUGUCUGGUGGGUAGUUUGACUGGGGCGGUCUCCUCCCAAAGUGUAACGGAGGAGCACGAAGGUCAGCUAAUCCUGGUCGGACAUCAGGAGGUUAGUGCAAUGGCAUAAGCUGGCUUGACUGCGAGAGUGACGGCUCGAGCAGGUGCGAAAGCAGGUCAUAGUGAUCCGGUGGUUCUGUAUGGAAGGGCCAUCGCUCAACGGAUAAAAGGUACUCCGGGGAUAACAGGCUGAUACCGCCCAAGAGUUCAUAUCGACGGCGGUGUUUGGCACCUCGAUGUCGGCUCAUCACAUCCUGGGGCUGAAGUAGGUCCCAAGGGUAUGGCUGUUCGCCAUUUAAAGUGGUACGCGAGCUGGGUUUAGAACGUCGUGAGACAGUUCGGUCCCUAUCUGCCGUGGGCGCUGGAGAAUUGAGGGGGGCUGCUCCCAGUACGAGAGGACCGGAGUGGACGCAUCACUGGUGUUCGGGUUGUCAUGCCAAUGGCACUGCCCGGUAGCUAAAUGCGGAAGAGAUAAGUGCUGAAAGCAUCUAAGCACGAAACUUGCCCCGAGAUGAGUUCUCCCUGAGACUGUAAGUCUCCUGAAGGAACGUUGAAGACGACGACGUUGAUAGGCCGGGUGUGUAAGCGCAGCGAUGCGUUGAGCUAACCGGUACUAAUGAACCGUGAGGCUUAACCUU